GUCCCUGGCCUUAUCUUAUAGUUAGGAUAGCCUUAUGCCUAUCCCACGCAUGCUUAAACUCCUUUACUGUGUUAACCUCUACCACUUCAACUGGAAGCCUAUUCCAUGCAUCCACUACCCUCUCAGUAAAGUAAUACUUCCUGAUAUUAUUUUUAAACCUUUGUCCCUCUAAUUUAAGACUAUGUCCUCUUGUUGUGGUAGUUUUUC
This is a non-coding RNA of Pelobates cultripes (western spadefoot toad), 207 nucleotides long. The record is from the annotation of a GenBank genome assembly. NCBI's taxonomy places the organism in Eukaryota, Metazoa, Chordata, Amphibia, Anura, Pelobatidae.